CUAUGUGUUGUUGGGUAGGGGAGCGUUCUGUAAGCCUGUGAAGGUGUACUGUGAGGUAUGCUGGAGGUAUCAGAAGUGCGAAUGCUGACAUAAGUAACGAUAAAGCGGGUGAAAAGCCCGCUCGCCGGAAGACCAAGGGUUCCUGUCCAACGUUAAUCGGGGCAGGGUGAGUCGACCCCUAAGGCGAGGCCGAAAGGCGUAGUCGAUGGGAAACAGGUUAAUAUUCCUGUACUUGGUGUUACUGCGAAGGGGGGACGGAGAAGGCUAUGUUGGCCGGGCGACGGUUGUCCCGGUUUAAGCGUGUAGGCUGGUUUUCCAGGCAAAUCCGGAAAAUCAAGGCUGAGGCGUGAUGACGAGGCACUACGGUGCUGAAGCAACAAAUGCCCUGCUUCCAGGAAAAGCCUCUAAGCAUCAGGUAACAUCAAAUCGUACCCCAAACCGACACAGGUGGUCAGGUAGAGAAUACCAAGGCGCUUGAGAGAACUCGGGUGAAGGAACUAGGCAAAAUGGUGCCGUAACUUCGGGAGAAGGCACGCUGAUAUGUAGGUGAAGCGACUUGCUCGUGGAGCUGAAAUCAGUCGAAGAUACCAGCUGGCUGCAACUGUUUAUUAAAAACACAGCACUGUGCAAACACGAAAGUGGACGUAUACGGUGUGACGCCUGCCCGGUGCCGGAAGGUUAAUUGAUGGGGUUAGCGGUAACGCGAAGCUCUUGAUCGAAGCCCCGGUAAACGGCGGCCGUAACUAUAACGGUCCUAAGGUAGCGAAAUUCCUUGUCGGGUAAGUUCCGACCUGCACGAAUGGCGUAAUGAUGGCCAGGCUGUCUCCACCCGAGACUCAGUGAAAUUGAACUCGCUGUGAAGAUGCAGUGUACCCGCGGCAAGACGGAAAGACCCCGUGAACCUUUACUAUAGCUUGACACUGAACAUUGAGCCUUGAUGUGUAGGAUAGGUGGGAGGCUUAGAAGUGUGGACGCCAGUCUGCAUGGAGCCGACCUUGAAAUACCACCCUUUAAUGUUUGAUGUUCUAACGUUGGCCCCUGAUCGGGGUUGCGGACAGUGUCUGGUGGGUAGUUUGACUGGGGCGGUCUCCUCCUAAAGAGUAACGGAGGAGCACGAAGGUUGGCUAAUCCUGGUCGGACAUCAGGAGGUUAGUGCAAUGGCAUAAGCCAGCUUGACUGCGAGCGUGACGGCGCGAGCAGGUGCGAAAGCAGGUCAUAGUGAUCCGGUGGUUCUGAAUGGAAGGGCCAUCGCUCAACGGAUAAAAGGUACUCCGGGGAUAACAGGCUGAUACCGCCCAAGAGUUCAUAUCGACGGCGGUGUUUGGCACCUCGAUGUCGGCUCAUCACAUCCUGGGGCUGAAGUAGGUCCCAAGGGUAUGGCUGUUCGCCAUUUAAAGUGGUACGCGAGCUGGGUUUAGAACGUCGUGAGACAGUUCGGUCCCUAUCUGCCGUGGGCGCUGGAGAACUGAGGGGGGCUGCUCCUAGUACGAGAGGACCGGAGUGGACGCAUCACUGGUGUUCGGGUUGUCAUGCCAAUGGCACUGCCCGGUAGCUAAAUGCGGAAGAGAUAAGUGCUGAAAGCAUCUAAGCACGAAACUUGCCCCGAGAUGAGUUCUCCCUGACUCCUUGAGAGUCCUGAAGGAACGUUGAAGACGACGACGUUGAUAGGCCGGGUGUGUAAGCGCAGCGAUGCGUUGAGCUAACCGGUACUAAUGAACCGUGAG
RNAcentral lists this ribosomal RNA (1724 nucleotides) under Escherichia coli. Its description in RNAcentral is "partial 23S ribosomal RNA". It matches the Rfam family "Bacterial large subunit ribosomal RNA", at positions 1214 to 2915 of the family's 2925-position model. Lineage: Bacteria; Pseudomonadati; Pseudomonadota; Gammaproteobacteria; Enterobacterales; Enterobacteriaceae. The record is from RNAcentral.